This 363-nucleotide ribosomal RNA is filed under the name Stefaniella brevipalpis. Its description in RNAcentral is "partial large subunit ribosomal RNA". The record is from RNAcentral. Lineage: Eukaryota; Metazoa; Arthropoda; Insecta; Diptera; Cecidomyiidae.
AUCUGAUGUGAGAAAUUCAAUAUUAUUUAAUUGUAAUUCAUUUUUGAUAUUACAUUUAAAUAGUAUGCACUUUUCUCAUAGUAAGACAUUGUAAUCCAUUGAUAUUAUAUCUUUAUUUAUUUAAAGAUGAUUUAACAUACGAACAAAAUGUAUAUGAUUAUUCUAUAAAUGAUAUGUUUUACAUAUCAUAUGAAUAAAAUCGUUUUGUAUCUGUUUAAAUAGUCGAUGGAUUUUUUAAAUUAAAAUCAUGCUUGCAAUUUAUUUUGCGUUUCGUAUCAUUAAUUUUUAAUUGAUGAUAGCAGAAAUGGCAUGUAUUUGAUUAACAAUGCGAUAGAUUUGGGAUGCCUUCGGGACCCGUCUUGA